UACGGAGGGUGCGAGCGUUAUUCGGAAUCACUGGGCGUAAAGGGCGCGUAGGCGGACUGGUAAGUCAGGGGUGAAAUCCCACGGCUCAACCGUGGAAUUGCCUUUGAAACUGCUGGGCUUGGAUCCUGGAGAGGGUGGCGGAAUUCCUGGUGUAGGAGUGAAAUCCGUAGAUAUCAGGAGGAACACCGGUGGCGAAGGCGGCCACCUGGACAGGUAUCGACGCUGAGGCGCGAAAGUGUGGGGAGCAAACAGG
RNAcentral lists this ribosomal RNA (253 nucleotides) under uncultured microorganism. RNAcentral's name for it is "partial 16S ribosomal RNA". It matches the Rfam family "Bacterial small subunit ribosomal RNA", at positions 524 to 776 of the family's 1533-position model. The record is from RNAcentral.